Vicugna pacos (alpaca) is the source of this 1027-nucleotide non-coding RNA. The record is from RefSeq and is a predicted model, not a curated record. NCBI's taxonomy places the organism in Eukaryota, Metazoa, Chordata, Mammalia, Artiodactyla, Camelidae.
CCUGGACUGAGCUUGAGGCUGCUCUGGCUGCUUGUCUUUGCAUUUCCCAGAGGAUUGUUUCCUAGAGUCUUCACUAAAUGAUUCAAAUGACUCUUCAAUGAAUUCCCAACUGAAAUCUUCUUCCCAAAAGUCCCUGAAUUCGCCACCACCUGUAUGUCUCAAUCUGUGGGCACUGCUCCAUGCAGAAGACACCAAGUAAGACGCAGUCAAGCAAAUACAAGCAAAAGACCAAGCAUUUCAGCCGUCAGCCCACGGGACCCAGACAUCUUCAGUUUGGAAGGCAAAAAAAAAAAAAAAAUCCUCACAGCUUCCCCACUGCAGCUUCAAUGGCAGAUUUAACGGUAAUGUUUUCUAAUCAAGUUACCCCACGUUCUCCUUCCAAGACUUUUUCUUUGUAACUCAUCCAACACGAUGCUGGCAGGCUUUGUUUAAUCAGAGUCUGGGUCUAAGGCAUUACAGAUGCUCAAAAAAAAAAAAUUUCUUACAGGAAUGAAAUCAUCGAUGUGGUGGGAAACACAUCAAAAAGUUGAGCCAGACACAGGCGAGUCAGAGAUUUCCUUAAGGCCAGUGAGAAAGCUAGCAACCAGGACACUGGGCCAUGCCUGUGUUCCCUGUAAACUUGAUUCAAGCACUUUGGAAAUCAAUACUACACGUUACUGAAACAUAUAAGGUGGGUAGUAAACUGACAAGCAGAAGAGGGAACAGUGAGAAGGCAGUGUUUGGAGGGCCCAGAGGAACUGAAUUACCUGGGGUUGGAACCAGACUUCCUUGGAAAAGAAGAAGCAGCAUCAAAUGGCCAAGGUCGCCCUCCUCGUGGUGGGCAGUCUUCAGUCUCCAGUGGGAGACGUAUUGGGAAACAAAGCCGGGAAGUACACAGAGGUCAGCUGUGGAAGGCACCGCUGGGCUCAGUACAGUGGAGACCAGAAAGGAGAGUCAGACAUGAUCCUUGCGGAUGAAAGAAGCAGUUCAAUGUUAACACAAAGGACAAAGCCCCAGAAGGAGAAACAGAAAGGGGAAUCAACUAUUC